AUUCUGGGAGACGUGAUGGAGCUCUUCGGGAGGUGCCUGUGGAGUGGAGUUCCUGCCACCCACUGCUGCAGCCUUGAUAAUGGACAGGGAUAUUGACUUCUUUCUCACUCACCCAGUUCCUCACUCCUGCUUCCUGCUGUCACAUGCCAGAAUAAACUAGAGCCUCCCAAGUCCAUCUCAGCUCUGCUUUCAGGAGAACAAAGUCCUGAAGGAGGCUGCUGUUCAGUGUGGUGUUGUCCAAGAGACCCGGUGUGAGCCACAUGCCAGCUUACAGAUUUCCAGCAGCCACAGUAGAACCAUCAAGAGAAAUAGGUGAAAUUAAUCCUAUAAAUAUAUUUAAUCCAAUAUUCUCCCAAUGUUGCAUUUAACAUGGAACCAACGUAGAAUAUGAUUAACGCGGUAUUUUACAUUUUUUCAUACUGAGGCUUCAAAAUUUGGUGGGUAAUUUAUAAUUUACCCGUUAGGCCCAUCUCAAUUUAAACAUUAAAUUUGUAUUGGAAAUAUAUGAUCUGUAGGAAGAUUUCAUAAAACUUUUUGAAAAAGUAUAUUUCUUUACCCAAG
This 561-nucleotide long non-coding RNA is filed under the name Marmota monax (woodchuck). Lineage: Eukaryota; Metazoa; Chordata; Mammalia; Rodentia; Sciuridae. The record is from RNAcentral.